RNAcentral lists this ribosomal RNA (478 nucleotides) under uncultured bacterium. RNAcentral's name for it is "partial 16S ribosomal RNA". It matches the Rfam family "Bacterial small subunit ribosomal RNA", at positions 28 to 507 of the family's 1533-position model. The record is from RNAcentral.
GAUGAACGCUGGCGGCGUGCUUAACACAUGCAAGUCGAACGGGAAACCUUUUAUUGAAGCUUCGGCAGAUUUAGCUGGUUUCUAGUGGCGGCCGGGUGAGUAACGCGUGGGUAACCUGCCUUAUACAGGGGGAUAACAGUCAGAAAUGGCUGCUAAUACCGCAUAAGCGCACAGAGCUGCAUGGCUCAGUGUGAAAAACUCCGGUGGUAUAAGAUGGACCCGCGUUGGAUUAGCUGGUUGGUGGGGUAACGGCCCACCAAGGCGACGAUCCAUAGCCGGCCUGAGAGGGUGAACGGCCACAUUGGGACUGAGACACGGCCCAGACUCCUACGGGAGGCAGCAGUGGGGAAUAUUGCACAAUGGGGGAAACCCUGAUGCAGCGACGCCGCGUGAAGGAAGAAGUAUCUCGGUAUGUAAACUUCUAUCAGCAUGGAAGAUAAUGACGGUACCUGACUAAGAAGCCCCGGCUAACUACGUG